AAAGUUGAAAAGAACUUUGAAGAGAGAGUUCAAGAGUACGUGAAACCGUUCAGGGGUAAACCUGAGAAACCCAAAAGAUCGAAUGGGGAGAUUCAUCGUCAGCGAUCGAGGCACGCGCGCGGCUCGCGAUCCCUUGAGGACUUCGGUCUUUGAGGUACACGUCCGCGUGUGGUUUUUCGCCUUGUGUCGUCGGCGUGCACUUCUCCCCUAGUAGGACGUCGCGACCCGUUGGGUGUCGGUCUACGGCCCGGGUGGGUGCCUGUCAUGUGUACGACGCUUCACGGCGUCAUGUGGCUGACAGACCCCCGGUUGUCCGACCAGCUGCCCGGCGGUACUCGCACGGUAUCGAGCCGCAAAAUUUGAACUGCGUUCGGCCCGCCGCAAGCGAGGCCAGUGUUUCCCGGAUGUACGGACCUAGUGCCGUCACCGGGCCUGGCCAGCUGUUGGUUGGCGGUGUCCUGGAACUGGCUUCACGAGAUUAUAAUACCGGUCGGCGACGCUACUGCUUUGGGUACUUUCAGGACCCGUCUUGAAACACGGACCAAGGAGUCUAACAUGUGCGCGAGUCAUUGGGAACUAUAAAGCCUAAAGGCGCAAUGAAAGUGAAGGUCGGCCUUGCGCCGACCGAGGGAGGAUGGGUCGCGUCACGAUGCGAUCCCGCACUCCCGGGGCGUCUCGUUCUCAUUGCGAGAAGAGGCGCACCCAGAGCGUACACGUUG
RNAcentral lists this ribosomal RNA (719 nucleotides) under Ophion flavidus. Its description in RNAcentral is "eukaryotic LSU rRNA". It matches the Rfam family "Eukaryotic large subunit ribosomal RNA", at positions 360 to 811 of the family's 3401-position model. Lineage: Eukaryota; Metazoa; Arthropoda; Insecta; Hymenoptera; Ichneumonidae. The record is from RNAcentral.